GUAGAACUGCCGAACCACUUUCCAGUCAGUUGCUCUCAGAGCAAAAUUGGGAGACAAACAUGACACAUUGGCUUCAAUUUGUUUUUGUUUCAGCAGUUUUGGGAGGUAAUUUUAUUCCUUCUUUGAACAAAGAUGACUAGUAUAAUCCAGGGCUUCAUAUGUAGCAGAUCCUUUAAAUAUGGCUUUCCCCCCUUUCUAGGUGUCCAAACAGCAAUCCAGCUGGUAGAAUCUGGAGGGGAUGUCAAAAGGCCUGGAGAGUCCCUCCGCCUCUCCUGUCAAGCUUCUGGAUUCACCUUCAGCAGCUAUGCCAUGAACUGGGUGCGACAGGCUCCUGGAAAGGGACUGGAAUGGAUUGCAGUAAUCUGGUCUGAUGGUAGCCAAAAAUAUUAUGCAGACUCAGUGAAAGGGCGCUUCACCAUCUCCAGAGACAACCCUUCAAACAUGCUGUAUCUGCAAAUGAAUAGCUUGAAAUCAGAGGACACUGCUGUUUAUUACUGUGCAAGAAGCAC
Non-coding RNA from Podarcis lilfordi (Lilford's wall lizard), 509 nucleotides. The record is from the annotation of a GenBank genome assembly. NCBI's taxonomy places the organism in Eukaryota, Metazoa, Chordata, Lepidosauria, Squamata, Lacertidae.